Molecule: small RNA, 134 nt
Filed under: Escherichia fergusonii
Lineage: Bacteria; Pseudomonadati; Pseudomonadota; Gammaproteobacteria; Enterobacterales; Enterobacteriaceae
Description: RtT sRNA
Rfam family: RtT RNA
About the family: This family represents a bacterial cis-regulatory element known as RtT RNA. The exact function of RtT is unknown although it is thought that it may be involved in changing the cellular response in relation to amino acid starvation.
Source: RNAcentral
GCUUUCUGCGGCCUGAAGAGGAUGAGAACCUCCGGGGCAGGGAGGUUCGACUCGAGCGAAGCGAGAGAACGUUGCGCCAGCAACGGCCCGCAGGGCGAGCCACGAAGUGGCGAGUAAUCCUCUAUCACCGACCA